CCUACGGGUGGCAGCAGUGAGGAAUAUUGGUCAAUGGACGAGAGUCUGAACCAGCCAAGCCGCGUGAAGGACGACUGCCCCAAGCGUUGUAAACUUCUUUUAUCAAGGAAUAAAAUGAGGCUCGUGUGCCUUUUUGCAUGUACUUUAUGAAUAAGGAUCGGCUAACUCCGUGCCAGCAGCCGCGGUAAUACGGAGGAUCCGAGCGUUAUCCGGAUUUAUUGGGUUUAAAGGGUGCGUAGGCGGGUUGUUAAGUCAGUUGUGAAAGUUUGCGGCUCAACCGUAAAAUAGCAAUUGAGACUGGCAGUCUUGAGAACAGGUGAGGUAGGCGGAAUGCGUGGUGUAGCGGUGAAAUGCUUAGAUAUCACGAAGAACCCCGAUUGCGAAGGCAGCUUAC
This 394-nucleotide ribosomal RNA is filed under the name uncultured bacterium. RNAcentral describes it as "partial 16S ribosomal RNA". It matches the Rfam family "Bacterial small subunit ribosomal RNA", at positions 338 to 729 of the family's 1533-position model. The record is from RNAcentral.